This 501-nucleotide ribosomal RNA is filed under the name uncultured bacterium. Its description in RNAcentral is "partial 16S ribosomal RNA". It matches the Rfam family "Bacterial small subunit ribosomal RNA", at positions 32 to 523 of the family's 1533-position model. The record is from RNAcentral.
AUUUAACGCUGGCGGCAGGCUUAACACAUGCAAGUCGAGCGGAGCGAGGGUGCUUGCACCUUAGCUUAGCGGCGGACGGGUGAGUAAUGCUUAGGAAUCUGCCUAUUAGUGGGGGACAACAUUCCGAAAGGAAUGCUAAUACCGCAUACGCCCUACGGGGGAAAGCAGGGGAUCUUCGGACCUUGCGCUAAUAGAUGAGCCUAAGUCGGAUUAGCUAGUUGGUGGGGUAAAGGCCUACCAAGGCGACGAUCUGUAGCGGGUCUGAGAGGAUGAUCCGCCACACUGGGACUGAGGCACGGCCCAGACUCCUACGGGAGGCAGCAGUGGGGAAUAUUGGACAAUGGGCGGAAGCCUGAUCCAGCCAUGCCGCGUGUGUGAAGAAGGCCUUUUGGUUGUAAAGCACUUUAAGCGAGGAGGAGGCUACUUAGAUUAAUACUCUGGGAUAGUGGACGUUACUCGCAGAAUAAGCACCGGCUAACUCUGUGCCAGCCGCCGCGGUAA